GCAUAUCAAUAAGCGGAGGAAAAGAAACUAACCAGGAUUGCCUCAGUAAGGGCGACUGAAGUGGCAAUAGCUCACCAUGUGAAUCUGCGUAAGCCGAAUUGUGGUUUCGCUUGUGUUAGGGGCUGGGCCAAGUCCGUUGGAACACGGCAGCUGAGAGGGUGAGACUCCCGUUUGCUGGCCCUUGGAACAAGUGUGUUCGAGUCGAGUUGUUUGGGAAU
This 218-nucleotide ribosomal RNA is filed under the name uncultured fungus. RNAcentral's name for it is "partial 26S ribosomal RNA". It matches the Rfam family "Eukaryotic large subunit ribosomal RNA", at positions 38 to 281 of the family's 3401-position model. Lineage: Eukaryota; Fungi. The record is from RNAcentral.